Molecule: ribosomal RNA, 465 nt
Filed under: uncultured bacterium
Lineage: Bacteria
Description: partial 16S ribosomal RNA
Rfam family: Bacterial small subunit ribosomal RNA
Source: RNAcentral
CCUACGGGAGGCUGCAGUAGGGAAUCUUCCACAAUGGGCGCAAGCCUGAUGGAGCAACACCGCGUGAGUGAAGAAGGGUUUCGGCUCGUAAAGCUCUGUUGUUGGAGAAGAACGUGCGUGAGAGUAACUGUUCACGCAGUGACGGUAUCCAACCAGAAAGUCACGGCUAACUACGUGCCAGCAGCCGCGGUAAUACGUAGGUGGCAAGCGUUAUCCGGAUUUAUUGGGCGUAAAGCGAGCGCAGGCGGUUGCUUAGGUCUGAUGUGAAAGCCUUCGGCUUAACCGAAGAAGUGCAUCGGAAACCGGGCAACUUGAGCGCAGAAGAGGACAGUGGAACUCCAUGUGUAGCGGUGGAAUGCGUAGAUAUAUGGAAGAACACCAGUGGCGAAGGCGGCUGUCUGGUCUGCAACUGACGCUGAGGCUCGAAAGCAUGGGUAGCGAACAGGAUUAGAUACCCGGGUAGUC